RNAcentral lists this non-coding RNA (155 nucleotides) under uncultured Enterocloster sp. RNAcentral's name for it is "Lysine riboswitch". It matches the Rfam family "Lysine riboswitch aptamer", at positions 9 to 168 of the family's 182-position model. Rfam says of the family: Riboswitches are metabolite binding domains within certain messenger RNAs that serve as precision sensors for their corresponding targets. Allosteric rearrangement of mRNA structure is mediated by ligand binding, and this results in modulation of gene expression. This family includes riboswitches that sense lysine in a number of genes involved in lysine metabolism, including lysC. The record is from RNAcentral. Lineage: Bacteria; Bacillati; Bacillota; Clostridia; Lachnospirales; Lachnospiraceae.
GCAAUAGAGGCGCGAAUCUCAAGAGUAACCGUCCGGAGGCUGCGGAAAGCCCGGGAGGGGCGGCAAAAGGGGGCUUCGCCGAAACCGGCAUUUUCCGUGGAAUGCUGCAGUUGGGGUACAGUUUAACAGGCUGUGCACUCUCACCAGAUGGUGGA